Molecule: ribosomal RNA, 511 nt
Filed under: uncultured Cephalotheca
Lineage: Eukaryota; Fungi; Ascomycota; Sordariomycetes; Cephalothecales; Cephalothecaceae
Description: eukaryotic LSU rRNA
Rfam family: Eukaryotic large subunit ribosomal RNA
Source: RNAcentral
ACGGCGAGUGAAGCGGCAACAGCUCGAAUUUGAAAUCUGGCCUCGGCCCGAGUUGUAAUCUGUAGAGGACGCUUUUGGCGCGGUGCCUUCCGAGUGCCCUGGAACGGGACGCCACAGAGGGUGAGAGCCCCGUAUGGUCGGACACCAAGCCUGUGUAAAGCUCCUUCGACGAGUCGGGUAGCUUGGGAAUGCUGCUCUAAGCGGGAGGUAAACUUCUUCUAAAGCUAAAUAUUGGCCAGAGACCGAUAGCGCACAAGUAGAGUGAUCGAAAGAUGAAAAGCACUUUGAAAAGAGGGUCAAAUAGUACGUGAAAUUGUUGAAAGGGAAGCGCUCAUGACCAGACUUGCGCCGGGCUGAUCAUCCAGUGGUCUCCACUGGUGCACUCUGCCCGGCUCAGGCCAGCGUCGGCUGUCACGGGGGGACAAAAGCACUGGGAAAGUAGCUCUCUCCGGGGAGUGUUAUAGCCCUAUGCAGAAUACCCCCGCGGCGGCCGAGGUCCGCGCUCUGCAAG